AGAGAAUAGGCCCAAGCGACUGUUUACCAAAAACAUAGGUUUCUGCUAAGUCGCAAGACGAUGUAUAGGAGCUGACGCCUGCCCGGGGCUGGAAGGUUAAGGGGAUCUGUUAGAGCAAUCGAAGCAGUGAACUUAAGCCCCAGUAAACGGCGGCCGUAACUAUAACGGUCCUAAGGUAGCGAAAUUCCUUGUCGGGGAAGUUCCGACCCGCACGAAAGGCGUAACGAUUUGGGCACUGUCUCAACAACAGACUCGG
Molecule: ribosomal RNA, 256 nt
Filed under: Clostridioides difficile
Lineage: Bacteria; Bacillati; Bacillota; Clostridia; Peptostreptococcales; Peptostreptococcaceae
Description: partial 23S ribosomal RNA
Rfam family: Bacterial large subunit ribosomal RNA
Source: RNAcentral